AUACGUAGGUCCCGAGCGUUGUCCGGAUUUAUUGGGCGUAAAGCGAGCGCAGGUGGUUUCUUAAGUCUGGUGUCAAAGGCUACUGCUCAACAGUAGUGUGCAUUGGAAACUGGGAGACUUGAGUGCAGGAGAGGAGAGUGGAAUUCCAUGUGUAGCGGUGAAAUGCGUAGAUAUAUGGAGGAACACCGGAGGCGAAAGCGGCUCUCUGGCCUGUAACUGACACUGAGGCUCGAAAGCGUGGGGAGCAAACAGGAUUAGAUACCCUGGUAGUCCACGCCGUAAACGAUGAGUGCUAGAUGUGGGGAGCUAUAAGUUCUCCGUAUCGCAGCUAACGCAAUAAGCACUCCGCCUGGGGAGUACGACCGCAAGGUUGAA
RNAcentral lists this ribosomal RNA (375 nucleotides) under uncultured bacterium. RNAcentral's name for it is "bacterial SSU rRNA". It matches the Rfam family "Bacterial small subunit ribosomal RNA", at positions 523 to 898 of the family's 1533-position model. The record is from RNAcentral.